Molecule: ribosomal RNA, 433 nt
Filed under: uncultured bacterium
Lineage: Bacteria
Description: partial 16S ribosomal RNA
Rfam family: Bacterial small subunit ribosomal RNA
Source: RNAcentral
AACGAACGCUGGCGGCAUGCUUAACACAUGCAAGUCGAACGGAACGGCCCUGCUUGGUGGGGGACGGGGGGGUAAACCGUGGGAACAUACGCGUGGGUUCUGCCCAACUUCCUGGGAGAGGUCUUAGUAACGGGUAAUAUCUUCGGACCAGAGAUUUGUGGCCGUGGGGUGGUGGCGCGAUGGAUUUGGUGGUUGGUAGGGUAAGAGCCUAACAAGGUGACGCUGCAUAGCUGGGCUGAGCGGAUGAUCAGCGACACUGGGACUGAGACACGGCCCAGGCUCGUACGGGAGGCAGCAGUGGGGAAUAUUGGACAAUGGGCGAAAGCCUGAUCCAGCAAUGCCGCGUAAGUGAUGAAGGCCUUAGGGUUGUAAAGCUCUUUUACCCGGGCUGAUAAUGACAGUACCGGGAGAAUAAGCACCGGCUAACUACGUG